UGACCUCAUGCCGAACUCAGAAGUGAAACGCCGUAGCGCCGAUGGUAGUGUGGGGUCUCCCCAUGUGAGAGUAGGGAACUGCCAGGC
This 87-nucleotide ribosomal RNA is filed under the name Klebsiella pneumoniae. The record is from RNAcentral. Lineage: Bacteria; Pseudomonadati; Pseudomonadota; Gammaproteobacteria; Enterobacterales; Enterobacteriaceae.